CCUACGGGUGGCAGCAGUGAGGAAUAUUGGUCAAUGGACGCAAGUCUGAACCAGCCAUGCCGCGUGCAGGAAGACGGCUCCAUGCGUUGUAAACUUCUUUUGUCCGAGGGCAAAUUCCGACACGUGUAUCGGGCCGAAAGUAUCGUACGAAUAAGCAUCGGCUAACUCCGUGCCAGCAGCCGCGGUAAUACGGAGGAUUCAAGCGUUAUCCGGCUUUAUUGGGUUUAAAGGGUGCGUAGGCGGUGCGAUAAGUUAGCGGUGAAAUCCCGGGGCUCAACUCCGGCACUGCCUCUGAUACUGUCGGGCUAGAGAUGAGUCGCGGUAGGCGGAAUGUAUGGUGUAGCGGGGAAAUGCAUAGAGAUCAUACAGAACACCGAUUGCGAAGGCAGCUUACCGAACUACGACUGACGUUGAGGCACGAAAGCGUGGGGAGCGAACAGGAUUAGAUACCCCAGUAGUC
Molecule: ribosomal RNA, 460 nt
Filed under: uncultured bacterium
Lineage: Bacteria
Description: partial 16S ribosomal RNA
Rfam family: Bacterial small subunit ribosomal RNA
Source: RNAcentral